ACGGCCACACCUAGGCGAAAACACCAGUUCCCGUCCGAUCACUGCAGUUAAGCGUCUGAGGGUCUCGUUAGUACUAUGGUUGGAGACAACAUGGGAAUCCGGGGUGCUGUAGGCU
Molecule: ribosomal RNA, 115 nt
Filed under: Schizosaccharomyces octosporus yFS286
Lineage: Eukaryota; Fungi; Ascomycota; Schizosaccharomycetes; Schizosaccharomycetales; Schizosaccharomycetaceae
Source: RNAcentral